This 310-nucleotide small nucleolar RNA is filed under the name Pelecanus crispus (Dalmatian pelican). RNAcentral's name for it is "Small Cajal body-specific RNA 7". It matches the Rfam family "Small Cajal body-specific RNA 7". Lineage: Eukaryota; Metazoa; Chordata; Aves; Pelecaniformes; Pelecanidae. The record is from Rfam by way of RNAcentral.
UGGAAGUGAUGAAAUAGAGAUAAUUGGAUGUCUCUCUGAAUGGAGUGUGUGUGAUAAAUGGAAUUUAGUCAGACUGGGGGUGGGGUGUGGGGAGCGUGUGUGCGUGCAUGUAUAGAAAAGGCUUUAAAUGGGGGCACUGAUGGUGCGGUGCUGAUUCCGGAGUGCAUCUGAGGCAUGUUGUUCAGUUCUGGGGUGCCACUUCACAACAUUGCCAAUGAUUAAAGCCCAAAACAAGCCCACCAAGACGAGCCUAGGCAUCCUGAAUCUCUAACAGGUUCAUUAAUGAAAGUGAUCCUGUGAUCUGAUCUGA